CCUACGGGCGGCUGCAGUGGGGAAUAUUGGACAAUGGGGGCAACCCUGAUCCAGCCAUGCCGCGUGUGUGAAGAAGGCCCUCGGGUUGUAAAGCACUUUCAGUGAGGAAGAACGCCUGGUGGUUAAUACCCAUCAGGAAAGACAUCACUCACAGAAGAAGCACCGGCUAACUCCGUGCCAGCAGCCGCGGUAAUACGGAGGGUGCGAGCGUUAAUCGGAAUUACUGGGCGUAAAGCGCGCGUAGGUGGCUUGAUAAGCCGGUUGUGAAAGCCCCGGGCUCAACCUGGGAACGGCAUCCGGAACUGUCGAGCUAGAGUGCAGGAGAGGAAGGUAGAAUUCCCGGUGUAGCGGUGAAAUGCGUAGAGAUCGGGAGGAAUACUAGUGGCGAAGGCGGCCUUCUGGACUGACACUGACACUGAGGUGCGAAAGCGUGGGUAGCAAACAGGAUUAGAUACCCUUGUAGUC
This 465-nucleotide ribosomal RNA is filed under the name Vreelandella stevensii. RNAcentral's name for it is "partial 16S ribosomal RNA". It matches the Rfam family "Bacterial small subunit ribosomal RNA", at positions 338 to 795 of the family's 1533-position model. Lineage: Bacteria; Pseudomonadati; Pseudomonadota; Gammaproteobacteria; Oceanospirillales; Halomonadaceae. The record is from RNAcentral.